UAUAUAUAUAUACAUAUAUAUAUAUAUAUAUAUAUAUAUAUAUAUAUAUUUUGUAACUGCUGGCAGAAGUGAAAUAGAUCCAACCAGGAUUUCUUCCACCUACUCCAACUGAAGAAAUAAAACCACAUGAGAGCUGUUAUCCGAUGAGGGAUUGAAAAGACUCCAUUUUUCAGCAGAACCUGAAGCUCAGUGGCAAACAUUCCAAGCAAUAACUCAAAAAUCCAGUUUGGUUUCAUAUCAUCUGCAAUCAACUGUUCUUGCAUGGAGUCCUUUCCUCCUCUUCCAACUACUAAAUUCUAUUCAGGAAAGUGCAUUUCCAUUGGCAAGUGUAAGUCUUUCAUCAGUGGUAAAUCCUUGUAUCCCAGAAUGUUCAUAGGGAGUUGGGAUCUGAGAUUGCUCUGCCAUGACACCUCAAUCCCGAGCUCUCUAUAG
This 432-nucleotide long non-coding RNA is filed under the name Coturnix japonica (Japanese quail). Its description in RNAcentral is "lncRNA (ENSCJPG00005020149.1)". Lineage: Eukaryota; Metazoa; Chordata; Aves; Galliformes; Phasianidae. The record is from RNAcentral.